GACGAACGCUGGCGGCGUGCCUAAUACAUGCAAGUGGACGCAAGGGAACACACUGUGCUUGCACACCGUGUUUUCUUGAGUCGCGAACGGGUGAGUAACGCGUAGGUAACCUGCCUAUUAGCGGGGGAUAACUAUUGGAAACGAUAGCUAAUACCGCAUAAUAUUAAUUAUUGCAUGAUAAUUGAUUGAAAGAUGCAAGCGCAUCACUAGUAGAUGGACCUGCGUUGUAUUAGCUAGUUGGUAAGGUAAGAGCUUACCAAGGCGACGAUACAUAGCCGACCUGAGAGGGUGAUCGGCCACACUGGGACUGAGACACGGCCCAGACUCCUACGGGAGGCAGCAGUAGGGAAUCUUCGGCAAUGGACGAAAGUCUGACCGAGCAACGCCGCGUGAGUGAAGAAGGUUUUCGGAUCGUAAAGCUCUGUUGUAAGUCAAGAACGUGUGUGAGAGUGGAAAGUUCACACAGUGACGGUAGCUUACCAGAAAGGCG
Molecule: ribosomal RNA, 490 nt
Filed under: Streptococcus mutans
Lineage: Bacteria; Bacillati; Bacillota; Bacilli; Lactobacillales; Streptococcaceae
Description: bacterial SSU rRNA
Rfam family: Bacterial small subunit ribosomal RNA
Source: RNAcentral